This 867-nucleotide long non-coding RNA is filed under the name Populus trichocarpa (black cottonwood). RNAcentral describes it as "long non-coding RNA (PTRI_LNC000706)". Lineage: Eukaryota; Viridiplantae; Streptophyta; Magnoliopsida; Malpighiales; Salicaceae. The record is from RNAcentral.
GACUUCCUUUAUUUGUUGUUGAAUCAUCAUGCCCCCAACGGCGUUAUGAAAAAUGAUUUUCUAGAAAUUACUUUCUAAAUUUUUCUUUAUUUAUUUUUAGAACAGUAAAAAUAAAUUUGGUUGAGUUUCCAUCACUCUGCAUCCUCUAUGCAAUUGACAUUCUUAUGCCCUGACAUUUAUCUUCUCACCUUUCUUAAAAGAAUCAUCAUUAGCCAUACUCUCUCAACUAUGAUGGGCAUGAUCAUCUUGUGUGAUGAUAUGCAUGAUUGCUGGAUGAACUCCAGAGCAUCCUGCCAUCCUUGAGGCAUAAGCUUGAUGCAAGUUCCUCAAGUGUUGCUUGAAAACAUUCUGCCUUCGAGCAUCUGCUCAAGUGGCGAAAUUGCAGUGAACACAUGCAUCUGUACUGACUUCUUGUGCUGUGACUUGAUGUGCUUGAAUAUUUGAAUGAUGGGGUGUGAGCUGCAGGAUCCCUAGUUAGAUGAGAAUUUUUGGCCAAACUGGUGGUUGAUCAGAAGAGGAAUAAAGCUACUAACAAGUUCUCCAGGCAGACAUAAACGGACAGGGGACUUUCUUUGUAGGAUUGGAAUAAUCUCCGAACGUGCUCGAUCUGGCAUCUUCCUGUCUGCGCGCACAUACCAGUUUGUGUAACUCUGAAGCGUGUUCGAUACUUUUUUUUGCUUGUUGCUUACGUAGUGCUCUGCAGGAACAGAAAUAUUAAGAAAAUUCCACUGGUAUUUUGAAUUCCCUUUAGAGAGAGAGAGAGAGAGAGAGAGAGAGAGUGGCAUGAGAGAAAAAGCCUCUUCAAAUUAACAUAAUUUCCUUGCAAUGGAUGUUUCAAUCUCGAAUAAUUUCUUUCUAAGAAUUCGG